Nothoprocta perdicaria is the source of this 445-nucleotide long non-coding RNA. RefSeq lists it as uncharacterized. The record is from RefSeq and is a predicted model, not a curated record. The transcript has 3 exons. Lineage: Eukaryota; Metazoa; Chordata; Aves; Tinamiformes; Tinamidae.
UACCAAUUCUUCUGUUCACCUAUUGCAAAUGUAGUUAACCUGUCAGCAGAGAUAGAUUGUGGAUUGAUUAUAUUUCUAUUUAAUAUUUACAGUUUUAUUAGGUGUUAUUGCAGUAUUUUCCCAGUCAAAGAGUAUUUCCUAGACCUCUACUACUGACCUGUACAAUUCAUACUGUGGAUUUUGCUUACAGGCCAGCUCUCAGGUUUAUUACAAUCGACUUUUUAUUACCUCUGUUUUCCUUUUUGUGUUUCAAAUUGUUUUAAGCAAUGGGUCCACUAACUGCAAUUAUCUUGCUGGCUGCUAUGCUACUUCAAUCAUCUGCUGCACAGGAGCACGAUCUUCAGUACGCUUUCUUUAGUCGUUCUGGGCCUCAAAACCACCAACUGAUUAUUGACCAACACAAUGAAAUACGGAGAUCUGUCGUUCCCCCAGCCACCAACAUGCU